RNAcentral lists this unclassified non-coding RNA (626 nucleotides) under Hevea brasiliensis (rubber tree). Lineage: Eukaryota; Viridiplantae; Streptophyta; Magnoliopsida; Malpighiales; Euphorbiaceae. The record is from RNAcentral.
GCCGGUGAACAUUAAGGGAAGUUAAACGAACAUCUGUGCUUUGGAUAAAUCUAUCCACAUAAAUGUGUGCCACAACGAAGCAGGAUGGGCUACAGCCAGAGUACUUGAAGAUGCGAUCAAUGUACUGCCGAAUACUUACUGCAGGUGCUCUUAAACCAUCAAAUUCUGUAAUGGCAUCUUUGAUCUGUUUAGUCUCCAGCACAGUCUCAUUUUUCUGAACAGAUCUCUCAAGAAGAGAAGAAAGAAGGGUUAAAACCUGUGGAGUUCCCAAAACUCCUUUUCCCAAUUCCUUGACCUUAAGUCCCAAACUUAGGUAUACAUCUGAGUCUACAUUGCCAGUAUCAAGUGUCAAUGUUCCCAUAGCUGUACAUCAAUAAUUGAUAUGUGGGUAUUAUCGUGGGUUGCUAAAAAAGCAUGCGGGACGAAGAAGAAAGAGUGAGCACAGAGAGGAACAGAGAGUGAAUUAUGGUUCAUAGAAUUUGCAAUUUCCCUUCUCUCUCUGCCAUGUUUGCUUUCCACCCUACAUUCGUUUAGGCAAGGUGAGGAGGAGGGAGAAACAGAGAGUUCUGAUUUUAUUAUCGACUUAAAAAAUAGCACUCUGUCUCUCUCUUUCCCAUGGAAAGAAG